AGAGUUUGAUCAUGGCUCAGAAUCAACGCUGGCGGCGUGCCUAACACAUGCAAGUCGAACGAGAAAGUGGAGCAAUCCAUGAGUAAAGUGGCGACCGGGUGAGUAACACGUGACUAACCUACCUUCGAAUGGGGAAUAACUCCGGGAACCGGGGCUAAUACCGCAUAACACCGCAAGGUCAAAGCAGCAAUGCGUUUGAA
This 200-nucleotide ribosomal RNA is filed under the name uncultured bacterium. RNAcentral describes it as "partial 16S ribosomal RNA". It matches the Rfam family "Bacterial small subunit ribosomal RNA", at positions 8 to 223 of the family's 1533-position model. The record is from RNAcentral.